UGUUGGUUGCCCGGAUGUGGGUGACAAAAUGCUCUUCAGAGACACAGGAAAAGGCGUCAUCCUGAGAGAAGACCACCACCCAUCUUAUACUGAAGUAUCUGUAAGACCUGCCACCAUUCUACAGCAUCUUAAGAAUCCCGUGAGCGGCUAUAGACAUGAAGACUCCCGAUAACACCAAGAUCUGGACGCCUUCCUGGAAAUUCCUGAUUAUUACUGUCCUCCUAGGAGCCAAUAUUGUUCUCAUCCGUAUUAUUGAAGCACUUGCUAAACACUCUGAAAUUCUGCAUGAGCUCUGUAUGAACAGCAGUGACGUGGCCGGAGGU
Molecule: long non-coding RNA, 323 nt
Organism: Bufo gargarizans (Asiatic toad)
Lineage: Eukaryota; Metazoa; Chordata; Amphibia; Anura; Bufonidae
Exons: 3
Source: RefSeq, a predicted model, not a curated record